GCGGUGAAAUGCGUAGAUAUCAGGAGGAACACCGGUGGCGAAGGCGGGUCUCUGGGCCGAUAUUGACGCUGAGGAGCGAAAGCGUGGGGAGCAAACAGGAUUAGAUACCCUGGUAGUCCUGGCCCUAAACGAUGAAUGCUUGGUGUGGCGGGUAUCGAUCCCUGCCGUGCCGAAGCUAACGCAUUAAGCAUUCCGCCUGGGGAGUACGGUCGCAAGGCUGAAACUCAAAUGAAUUGACGG
RNAcentral lists this ribosomal RNA (240 nucleotides) under uncultured bacterium. RNAcentral describes it as "partial 16S ribosomal RNA". It matches the Rfam family "Bacterial small subunit ribosomal RNA", at positions 678 to 916 of the family's 1533-position model. The record is from RNAcentral.